Long non-coding RNA from Prionailurus viverrinus (fishing cat), 287 nucleotides. RefSeq lists it as uncharacterized. The transcript has 3 exons. The record is from RefSeq and is a predicted model, not a curated record. NCBI's taxonomy places the organism in Eukaryota, Metazoa, Chordata, Mammalia, Carnivora, Felidae.
GAAAAGACAGCCCUUUAUGAGAUAUGCCAUUCUUGGGGCAGAAGGAAAGAGCUAGACCCUGUUAACUUAAAUAACCUCCAUGGAUGUGGCAUACGCAAGUGCUCAAGCCAGACACAGGGUGUCACAGCACCUAGAUACAACAUGGCAACCAAGCAAGGCUAUUCCUCAGGAAAACUGUAAGGUAACAGCCAGUGUCAGUUGCCAAACACAUGAGUGAAGAAGCCUUCAUAUUAUUCCAACUCCAGCCUUAGAGCCUUCUAGCUGAGGCCCCUUCAUCACAGUAGAGG